GCGUAGGAAUCUGCCCAUUAGUGGGGGAUAGCCCGGGGAAACCCGGAUUAAUACCGCAUACGCCCUACGGGGGAAAGCAGGGGAUCUUCGGACCUUGCGCUAUUGGAUGAGCCUGCGUCGGAUUAGCUAGUUGGUGGGGUAAAGGCCCACCAAGGCGACGAUCCGUAGCUGGUCUGAGAGGAUGAUCAGCCACACCGGGACGUGAGACACGGCCCGGACUCCCACGGGAGGCAGCGGUGGGGAAGUAUUGGACAAUGGGGGCGAACCCUGAUCCAGCCAUGCCGCGUGUGUGGAGAAGGC
RNAcentral lists this ribosomal RNA (300 nucleotides) under uncultured Alteromonadales bacterium. Its description in RNAcentral is "bacterial SSU rRNA". It matches the Rfam family "Bacterial small subunit ribosomal RNA", at positions 115 to 415 of the family's 1533-position model. The record is from RNAcentral. Lineage: Bacteria; Pseudomonadati; Pseudomonadota; Gammaproteobacteria; Alteromonadales.